RNAcentral lists this ribosomal RNA (780 nucleotides) under uncultured bacterium. RNAcentral describes it as "bacterial SSU rRNA". It matches the Rfam family "Bacterial small subunit ribosomal RNA", at positions 43 to 835 of the family's 1533-position model. The record is from RNAcentral.
CGCGUGCUACCAUGCAAGUCGAACGAUGAAGCUGGAGCUUGCUCCGGUGGAUUAGUGGCGAACGGGCGAGUAACACGUGAGAAAUCUGCCCUUGACUCUGGGAUAACUGCGGGAAACUGUAGCUAAUACCGGAUACUUUCCUUGGUGGGCAUCCACUGGGGAAGAAAGAAUUUCGGUCAAGGAUGAUCUCGCGGCCUAUCAGCUAGUUGGUGAGGUAACGGCUCACCAAGGCGACGACGGGUAGCCGGCCUGAGAGGGUGACCGGCCACACUGGGACUGAGACACGGCCCAGACUCCUACGGGAGGCAGCAGUGGGGAAUAUUGCACAAUGGGCGCAAGCCUGAUGCAGCAACGCCGCGUGAGGGAUGACGGCCUUCGGGUUGUAAACCUCUUUUAGCAGGGAAGAAGCGCAAGUGACGGUACCUGCAGAAAAAGCACCGGCUAACUACGUGCCAGCAGCCGCGGUAAUACGUAGGGUGCAAGCGUUGUCCGGAAUUAUUGGGCGUAAAGAGCUCGUAGGCGGUUUGUCGCGUCUGCUGUGAAAAUCCGAGGCUCAACCUCGGACCUGCAGUGGGUACGGGCAAACUAGAGUGCGGUAGGGGAGAUUGGAAUUCCUGGUGUAGCGGUGGAAUGCGCAGAUAUCAGGAGGAACACCAAUGGCGAAGGCAGAUCUCUGGGCCGUAACUGACGCUGAGGAGCGAAAGCGUGGGGAGCGAACAGGAUUAGAUACCCUGGUAGUCCACGCCGUAAACGGUGGGAACUAGAUGUGGGGUCCGUUCC